RNAcentral lists this ribosomal RNA (510 nucleotides) under uncultured bacterium. Its description in RNAcentral is "partial 16S ribosomal RNA". It matches the Rfam family "Bacterial small subunit ribosomal RNA", at positions 28 to 507 of the family's 1533-position model. The record is from RNAcentral.
GACGAACGCUGGCGGCGUGCUUAACACAUGCAAGUCGAACGAAGAGCGAUGGAAGCUUGCUUCUAUCAAUCUUAGUGGCGAACGGGUGAGUAACGCGUAAUCAACCUGCCCUUCAGAGGGGGACAACAGUUGGAAACGACUGCUAAUACCGCAUACGAUCUGACCUCGGCAUCGAGGAUAGAUGAAAGGUGGCCUCUACAUGUAAGCUAUCACUGAAGGAGGGGAUUGCGUCUGAUUAGCUAGUUGGAGGGGUAACGGCCCACCAAGGCGAUGAUCAGUAGCCGGUCUGAGAGGAUGAACGGCCACAUUGGGACUGAGACACGGCCCAGACUCCUACGGGAGGCAGCAGUGGGGAAUCUUCCGCAAUGGACGAAAGUCUGACGGAGCAACGCCGCGUGAGUGAUGACGGCCUUCGGGUUGUAAAGCUCUGUUAAUCGGGACGUAAGGCCUUUUUGCGAAUAGUGAGGAGGAUUGACGGUACCGGAAGAGAAAGCCACGGCUAACUACGUG